CAGUAGCCGCGGGAAUACGGAGGGUGCAAGCGUUAAUCGGAAUUACUGGGCGUAAAGCGCACGCAGGCGGUCUGACAAGUCAGAUGUGAAAUCCCCGGGCUUAACCUGGGAACUGCAUUUGAAACUGUCAGGCUGGAGUCUUGUAGAGGGGGGUGGAAUUCCAGGUGUAGCGGUGAAAUGCGUAGAGAUCUGGAGGAAUACCGGUGGCGAAGGCGGCCCCCUGGACAAAGACUGACGCUCAGGUGCGAAAGCGUGGGGAGCAAACAGGAUUAGAGACCCGUGUAGUCCCUGUCUCUUAUAC
Molecule: ribosomal RNA, 301 nt
Filed under: uncultured bacterium
Lineage: Bacteria
Description: partial 16S ribosomal RNA
Rfam family: Bacterial small subunit ribosomal RNA
Source: RNAcentral